GACGAACGCUGGCGGCGUGCUUAACACAUGCAAGUCGAACGGAAAGGCCCUGCUUUUGUGGGGUGCUCGAUUGGCGAACGGGUGAGUAACACGUGAGUAACCUGCCCUUGUCUUUGUGAUAACUUCAGGAAACUGGGGCUAAUACCGGAUAGGAUCUCCUGCUGCAUGUGGGUGGUUGGAAAGUUUCGGCGGUUGGGGAUGUACUCGCGGCUUAUCAGCUUGUUGGUGGGGUAGUGGCUUACCAAGGCUUUGACGGGUAGCCGGCCUGAGAGGGUUAACGGCCACCUUGGGACUACGAUACGGACCAGAAGCCUACGGGCGGCAGCAGUGGGGAAUAUUGCAGAAUGGGCGGAAGCCUGAUGCAGCAACGCCGCGUGCGGGAUGACGGCCUUCGGGUUGUAAACAGAUUUCGAAUGUGACGAAGAGUGCGUGACGGUAAUGGGUAAAGAAGCACCGGCUAACUACGUG
RNAcentral lists this ribosomal RNA (468 nucleotides) under uncultured bacterium. RNAcentral's name for it is "partial 16S ribosomal RNA". It matches the Rfam family "Bacterial small subunit ribosomal RNA", at positions 28 to 507 of the family's 1533-position model. The record is from RNAcentral.